GGAGAGGUGCACCGAAUGGUAAGGUACCGCUCUCGAAAAGCGGCUCCCGUUUAUCGGGAUUGUGGGUUCGAGUCCCACCCUCUCCG
Molecule: transfer RNA, 86 nt
Filed under: bacterium
Lineage: Bacteria
Also listed under: 1 other name
Description: tRNA-Ser
Rfam family: tRNA
About the family: Transfer RNA (tRNA) molecules are approximately 80 nucleotides in length.
Source: RNAcentral